GAUGAACGCUGGCGGCGUGCCUAACACAUGCAAGUCGAGCGAUUCUCUUCGGAGAAGAGCGGCGGACGGGUGAGUAACGCGUGGGUAACCUGCCCUGUACACACGGAUAACAUACCGAAAGGUAUGCUAAUACGAGAUAAUAUGCUUUUAUCGCAUGGUAGAAGUAUCAAAGCUCCGGCGGUACAGGAUGGACCCGCGUCUGAUUAGCUAGUUGGUAAGGUAACGGCUUACCAAGGCGACGAUCAGUAGCCGACCUGAGAGGGUGAUCGGCCACAUUGGAACUGAGACACGGUCCAAACUCCUACGGGAGGCAGCAGUGGGGAAUAUUGCACAAUGGGCGAAAGCCUGAUGCAGCAACGCCGCGUGAGCGAUGAAGGCCUUCGGGUCGUAAAGCUCUGUCCUCAAGGAAGAUAAUGACGGUACUUGAGGAGGAAGCCCCGGCUAACUACGUG
This 452-nucleotide ribosomal RNA is filed under the name uncultured bacterium. RNAcentral's name for it is "bacterial SSU rRNA". It matches the Rfam family "Bacterial small subunit ribosomal RNA", at positions 28 to 507 of the family's 1533-position model. The record is from RNAcentral.